CGGGGUGCAGCNGGCGCGAAAACUUUACAAUGCACGAAAGUGUGAUAAGGGGAUCCCAAGUGCUCAUGCUCUGCAUGGGCUUUUGCUAAGGGCAGGAACCUUGGCGAAUAAGUGGUGGGUAAGACUGGUGCCAGCCGCCGCGGUAACCCCAGCGCCACAAGUGGCAAUCGCGAUUAUUGGGUCUAAAGCGUCCGUAGCCGGUUUGAUAAAUCUCUUGUGAAAUCGUUGGACUUAACCUAACGAAUGGCAGGAGACACUGUCAGACUUGAGACCGGAAGGUGUGUGAAGUAUGGUGUGGGGAACGGUAAAAUGUGAUAAUCCACACUGGACUACCAAUGGCGAAGGCAUCACACAAGUACGGAUCUGACGGUGAGGGACGAGAGCUAGGGGAGCGAUCCGGAUUAGAUACCCGAGUAGUCCUAGCCGUAAACGCUGUGAGCAAGGUGUUGCAUAUUCCUCGGGAAUAUGCGGUGUCGAAACGAAGGUGUUAAGCUCACCACCUGGGAAGUACGGUCGCAAGACUGAAACUUUAAGGAAUUGGCGGGGAAGCACCACAAGGGGUGCGGCGUGUGGUUUAAUUUAACUCAACACAGAACACCUUACUAGAAGCGACGGCAGGAUGAAGGUCAGUCUGAAGGGCUUACCCAACGAGCCGAGAGGUGGUGCAUGGCCGUCGCCCAGCUCGUGCU
Molecule: ribosomal RNA, 689 nt
Filed under: uncultured archaeon
Lineage: Archaea
Description: bacterial SSU rRNA
Rfam family: Archaeal small subunit ribosomal RNA
Source: RNAcentral